This 408-nucleotide ribosomal RNA is filed under the name uncultured bacterium. RNAcentral describes it as "partial 16S ribosomal RNA". It matches the Rfam family "Bacterial small subunit ribosomal RNA", at positions 28 to 526 of the family's 1533-position model. The record is from RNAcentral.
GACGAACGCUGGCGGCGUGCUUAACACAUGCAAGUCGAACGAAGUGGCGAACGGGUGAGUAAAGCGUAAUCAACCUGCCGUUCAGAGGGGGACAACAGUUGGAAACGACUGCUAAUACCGCAUACGGAAGGAGGGGAUUGCGUCGGAUUAGCUGGUUGGAGGGGUAACGGCCUACCAAGGCGAAGGGCAGUAGCCGGUCUGGAGGGGUGGACCGCCACAUUGGGACUGAGGCACGGGCCAGGCUCCUACGGGAGGCAGCAAUGGGGAAUCUUCCGCAAUGGGCGAAAGUCUGACGGAGCAACGGCGCGGGAGUGAUGACGGCCUUCUGGUUGGAAAGCUCUGUUAAUCGGGACGCGGUACCGGAAUAGAAAGCCACGGCUAACUACGUGCCAGCAGCCGCGGUAAUAC